This 1578-nucleotide long non-coding RNA is filed under the name Homarus americanus (American lobster). RNAcentral describes it as "uncharacterized LOC121868332, transcript variant X1". Lineage: Eukaryota; Metazoa; Arthropoda; Malacostraca; Decapoda; Nephropidae. The record is from RNAcentral.
UAUACUCUCAAGCAGAUGAUAUCCAACAUCAUUUUUAUUUUAAAGCUGUGGAAGCCAUUUAUCAUUGAGUCAUCUACGUGAGAAGUAAAGUUGAAAAAAAAAGUGUAUUUUCCUUACCUUCUCUUGAUAAAUAUCACCUUUAACUCCUCUCUGCCUCUAUAGGCUGAAUCAUGCGCUUCUAACUUAGUAGAGAGAAAUCCCAUUGCCUAGAAUUUUAAAUGAAAUUGCAUUAUGUACUAAUGAAAGCAUAAACCUAGAAUUGUUAAAAUGCCAUUGACCUACAAGUUAUAUUGUCCAGAAAUCUAAAGUUACUUCUGUAUAUGUAUAGGAAACAAUCUUAAUGUUCUGGUACUGUCCACUGGUGUUUUAUGUGCUUCACCUUAUUGUACAUAUCAAUUAUUGUUUGGGAAAUUUAAAGCAGUUCUAUGGGGUACAGCAGCUAAGAGGAUACGGUGCUUGAUUCUUGUCUGAGCAUCCCAGUCUGAGGCUCCAUCUCGCUUGUAGUCAAGGAGGGGAUGGUGUCUGCUACCUAACCUUGAUUCGAGGAGCAGACAGCUCAUUUACAGGGGAUGUAUUGCUCUCUUGGAUGUAAUAUGUAAUCAAUCUGUCCAAAGGGUCUUUGCUGUGAUCCCAGGGCACCUCCAGUCCAUAUGUGCCAAACACAUUAUUUGGGGAGGUGAAGAUCAUUGAGCAGUGCUGCCUAGUGUACCAAAGGCUUAUAGUAUACUGCAAGCUGUAUCCAUACUAUCCCUAACAGACCUUUAGGACCCCUUUUUGCUUAAUGACUCUUAGGUGCCCAUGAAACAUACAGGAGGGGCAGAUGUAUUGGUGGUGGACAUCUUUGUACCUCACUCCAAGCAUGUUUAAUUCUUCAGACAACAUACAGUACUUGUAAUGGAUCCCACAAUCCAUUUCAUGCUGAGACAGGAUAACAUCAAUGGACAACAAGGCUUUGGGUGCAUCUGAAAUGACUGAGGAAGCAUUACCUUCAGAUGAAUAUGCAGUAAGGAAAAUGAUUUCAAGGCCCUCAUAGAAAUUAGCUUAGGAGUUAGUUGCUGUCAAGGCAAAAAAAAAUCUGCAAAAACCAGGAACAAAGGCGGAAGUGAACCUUACUAAUAAUAUAGCAUGCUGGGAAGUUAUCCACCAAGGCCAUGGAUGCAUCUUGAAGUGACUGAGGAAGCACUGCUCUCCUCAGAUGAAUAUGCAGGUCCUAGGAGGCAAACUAAGCAUCUUGUUAUUGUCAAAGCAAUUUCCUCAACCACAAUGCUGAACAGAGGAUAAAUUCUGCUGGUCUCGGAGGAAUUUCACAAAUACUCGAGCAGGAAAAAUUCAAGAACGUUAUUCUCCAUCGCCAAUCUUAAUUUGAAACCAAGGACAUCUUGUUAUUGUCAAAUCAAAUUUCCUCAACUACAAUGCCUAACAGAGGAUAAAUUCUGCUGGUCUCGGAGGAAUGUGUCAAAUACUCAAGCAGGAAAAAUUCAAGAACGUUAAUCUCCAUCACUAAUGUUAAUUUGAAGCCGAGGAAAUUAAUGGAGUGUUUUUUUGUUUUUGUUUUUCAUUAAAGUAUGCAGAAGUGUU